GUCCCACCUGACCCCAUGCCGAACUCAGAAGUGAAACGCCGUAGCGCCGAUGGUAGUGUGGGGGCUCCCCAUGCGAGAGUAGGGAACUGCCAGGC
Molecule: ribosomal RNA, 95 nt
Filed under: Escherichia coli
Lineage: Bacteria; Pseudomonadati; Pseudomonadota; Gammaproteobacteria; Enterobacterales; Enterobacteriaceae
Also listed under: 1 other name
Source: RNAcentral